Molecule: ribosomal RNA, 513 nt
Filed under: uncultured Bacillota bacterium
Lineage: Bacteria; Bacillati; Bacillota
Description: bacterial SSU rRNA
Rfam family: Bacterial small subunit ribosomal RNA
Source: RNAcentral
GCAACGCCGCGUGAGCGAUGAAGGCCUUCGGGUCGUAAAGCUCUGUGUUAAGGAAGAACAAGUACGAGAGUAACUGCUCGUACCUUGACGGUACUUAACGAGAAAGCCACGGCUAACUACGUGCCAGCAGCCGCGGUAAUACGUAGGUGGCGAGCGUUAUCCGGAAUUAUUGGGCGUAAAGCGCGCGCAGGCGGUUUCUUAAGUCUGAUGUGAAAGCCCACGGCUCAACCGUGGAGGGUCAUUGGAAACUGGGAAACUUGAGUGCAGAAGAGGAAAGCGGAAUUCCACGUGUAGCGGUGAAAUGCGUAGAGAUGUGGAGGAACACCAGUGGCGAAGGCGGCUUUCUGGUCUGUAACUGACGCUGAGGCGCGAAAGCGUGGGGAGCAAACAGGAUUAGAUACCCUGGUAGUCCACGCCGUAGACGAUGAGUGCUAAGUGUUAGAGGGUUUCCGCCCUUUAGUGCUGAAGUUAACGCAUUAAGCACUCCGCCUGGGGAGUACGGUCGCAAGACUG